UACGUAGGUGGCAAGCGUUGUCCGGAAUUAUUGGGCGUAAAGCGCGCGCAGGUGGUUUCUUAAGUCUGAUGUGAAAGCCCACGGCUCAACCGUGGAGGGUCAUUGGAAACUGGGGGACUUGAGUACAGAAGAGAAGAGUGGAAUUCCACGUGUAGCGGUGAAAUGCGUAGGGAUGUGGAGGAAUACCAGUGGCGAAGGCGACUCUUUGGUCUGUAACUGACGCUGAGGCGCGAAAGCGUGGGGAGCAAACAGG
This 253-nucleotide ribosomal RNA is filed under the name uncultured bacterium. RNAcentral's name for it is "partial 16S ribosomal RNA". It matches the Rfam family "Bacterial small subunit ribosomal RNA", at positions 524 to 776 of the family's 1533-position model. The record is from RNAcentral.